UUAAGUUCAGCGGGUAGUCCUACCUGAUUUGAGGUCAAGAUUGUCAAGUAUUGUCUAGCAAGUAGACCGUUAGACAGCAGCAUAACCUCUUUAUAUGCGUGGCACUGACUAAUGGCGUAGAUAGUUAUCACACCAAUAGCUGUAAAACCACAGAGGUACCGCUAAUGCAUUUCAGAGGAGCUGACUCGAAAGCCUGCAUA
Molecule: unclassified non-coding RNA, 200 nt
Filed under: Crepidotus sp.
Lineage: Eukaryota; Fungi; Basidiomycota; Agaricomycetes; Agaricales; Crepidotaceae
Description: partial internal transcribed spacer 2
Source: RNAcentral